RNAcentral lists this ribosomal RNA (507 nucleotides) under Lactobacillus amylolyticus. RNAcentral's name for it is "bacterial SSU rRNA". It matches the Rfam family "Bacterial small subunit ribosomal RNA", at positions 48 to 522 of the family's 1533-position model. Lineage: Bacteria; Bacillati; Bacillota; Bacilli; Lactobacillales; Lactobacillaceae. The record is from RNAcentral.
CUAAUACAUGCAAGUCGAGCGAGCAGAACUAACAGAUCUACUUCGGUAGUGACGUUUCGGAAGCGAGCGGCGGAUGGGUGAGUAACACGUGGGUAACCUGCCCUUAAGUCUGGGAUACCACUUGGAAACAGGUGCUAAUACCGGAUAACAACAAGUGCUGCAUGGCACUUGCUUGAAAGGCGGCGCAAGCUGUCGCUAAAGGAUGGACCCGCGGUGCAUUAGCUAGUUGGUAAGGUAACGGCUUACCAAGGCAACGAUGCAUAGCCGAGUUGAGAGACUGAUCGGCCACAUUGGGACUGAGACACGGCCCAAACUCCUACGGGAGGCAGCAGUAGGGAAUCUUCCACAAUGGGCGAAAGCCUGAUGGAGCAACGCCGCGUGAGUGAAGAAGGUUUUCGGAUCGUAAAGCUCUGUUGUUGGUGAAGAAGGAUAGAGGUAGUAACUGACCUUUAUUUGACGGUAAUCAACCAGAAAGUCACGGCUAACUACGUGCCAGCAGCCGCGGUA